GUCGAGGGGUAUUCUAGCAAUAGAAGAGACCGGCGCACGGGUGCGUAACGCGUAUGCAACCUACCUUUUACAGGGGAAUAGCCCAGAGAAAUUUGGAUUAAUGCCCCAUGGUAUAAUUUAAUGGCAUCGUUUAAUUAUUAAAGUUCCAACGGUAAAAGAUGGGCAUGCGUCCUAUUAGCUAGAUGGUAAGGUAACGGCUUACCAUGGCUACGAUAGGUAGGGGUCCUGAGAGGGAGAUCCCCCACACUGGUACUGAGACACGGACCAGACUCCUACGGGAGGCAGCAGUGAGGAAUAUUGGACAAUGGGCGCAAGCCUGAUCCAGCCAUGCCGCGUGCAGGAAGACGCAUCUAUGGUGUGUAAACUGCUUUUGUACGGGAAGAAACACUCCCUCGUGAGGGAGCUUGACGGUACCGUAAGAAUAAGGAUCGGCUAACUCCGUGCCAGCAGCCGCGGUAAUACGGAGGAUCCAAGCGUUAUCCGGAAUCAUUGGGUUUAAAGGGUCCGUAGGCGGUUUGAUAAGUCAGUGGUGAAAGCCCAUCGCUCAACGAUGGAACGGCCAUUGAUACUGUUAGACUUGAAUUACAAGGAAGUAACUAGAAUAUGUAGUGUAGCGGUGAAAUGCUUAGAUAUUACAUGGAAUACCAAUUGCGAAGGCAGGUUACUACUUGUGGAUUGACGCUGAUGGACGAAAGCGUGGGGAGCGAACAGGAUUAGAUACCCUGGUAGUCCACGCCGUAAACGAUGGAUACUAGCUGUUCGGAGCAAUCUGAGUGGCUAAGCGAAAGUGAUAAGUAUCCCACCUGGGGAGUACGUUCGCA
Molecule: ribosomal RNA, 821 nt
Filed under: uncultured Bacteroidota bacterium
Lineage: Bacteria; Pseudomonadati; Bacteroidota
Description: bacterial SSU rRNA
Rfam family: Bacterial small subunit ribosomal RNA
Source: RNAcentral